UUACUAUUUCCUCCGUCCGGAAAUACUUGUCGGAGAAAUGAAUGUAUCUAGACGUAUUUUGCUUCUAAGAUACAUUCAUUUUUGUUCAUUUUUUCGAUAAGUAUUUUCGGACGGAGGGAGUACGAA
Molecule: non-coding RNA, 126 nt
Organism: Triticum aestivum (bread wheat)
Lineage: Eukaryota; Viridiplantae; Streptophyta; Magnoliopsida; Poales; Poaceae
Source: Rfam